This 254-nucleotide ribosomal RNA is filed under the name uncultured bacterium. RNAcentral's name for it is "partial 16S ribosomal RNA". It matches the Rfam family "Bacterial small subunit ribosomal RNA", at positions 524 to 776 of the family's 1533-position model. The record is from RNAcentral.
UACGUAGGGUGCGAGCGUUGUCCGGAAUUAUUGGGCGUAAAGAGCUCGUAGGCGGUCUGUCGCGUCGAUCGUGAAAACUUGGGGCUUAACCCUGAGCUUGCGGUCGAUACGGGCAUGACUGGAGUUCGGCAGGGGAGACUGGAAUUCCCGGUGUAGCGGUGAAAUGCGUAGAUAUCGGGAAGAACACCGAUGGCGAAAGCACUCUGCUGGGCCGAAACUGACACUGAGGGACGAAAGCUAGGGGAGCGAAAGGG